Molecule: ribosomal RNA, 253 nt
Filed under: uncultured bacterium
Lineage: Bacteria
Description: partial 16S ribosomal RNA
Rfam family: Bacterial small subunit ribosomal RNA
Source: RNAcentral
UACGUAGGUGGCAAGCGUUGUCCGGAUUUACUGGGCGUAAAGAGCGCGCAGGCGGUCGUUUAAGUCGAAUGUGAAAGCCCCCGGCUCAACUGGGGAGGGUCAUUCGAUACUGAUCGACUUGAAGGCAGGAGAGGGAAGUGGAAUUCCGGGUGUAGUGGUGAAAUGCGUAGAUAUCCGGAGGAACACCGGUGGCGAAGGCGGUUCUCUGGGCAUUACCUGACGCUGAGGAGCGAAAGUGUGGGGAGCGAACAGG